UACGUAAGGGGCAAGCGUUGUCCGGAUUUAUUGGGCGUAAAGAGCGUGUAGGCGGCCAUACAGGUCAGCUGUGAAAACUCGAGGCUCAACCUCGAGACGUCGGUUGAAACCAUCUGGCUAGAGUCCGGAAGAGGAGUGUGGAAUUCCCGGUGUAGCGGUGAAAUGCGCAGAUAUCGGGAAGAACACCCGUGGCGAAGGCGGCACUCUGGGACGGUACUGACGCUGAGACGCGAAAGCGUGGGGAGCGAACAGG
This 253-nucleotide ribosomal RNA is filed under the name uncultured bacterium. RNAcentral's name for it is "partial 16S ribosomal RNA". It matches the Rfam family "Bacterial small subunit ribosomal RNA", at positions 524 to 776 of the family's 1533-position model. The record is from RNAcentral.